RNAcentral lists this small nuclear RNA (292 nucleotides) under Erinaceus europaeus (western European hedgehog). RNAcentral's name for it is "7SK RNA". It matches the Rfam family "7SK RNA". Rfam says of the family: 7SK was discovered as an abundant small nuclear RNA in the mid-70s but a possible function has only recently been suggested. Two independent studies have found that 7SK RNA binds the CDK9/cyclin T complex (known as elongation factor P-TEFb). The record is from Rfam by way of RNAcentral. Lineage: Eukaryota; Metazoa; Chordata; Mammalia; Eulipotyphla; Erinaceidae.
GGAUGUGAGGGCGAUCUGGCUGCGAAUCUGUCACCCCAUUGAUCGCCAGGGUUGAUUCGGCUGAUCUAGCUGGCUAGGUGGAUGUCCCCUUCCUCCCUCACCGCUCCAUAUGCAUCCAGUCCCUCCCAAAGCUGUGAGCUCUGUUGAAGAGGAUGGACCAGUCUUCGGUCAAGGGUAUGAGUAGCUGUGCUUCCCUGCUAGAACCUCCAAACAAGCUCUCAAGAGUACCUAUGGAAAGUAUAAGUUGAAGUAUGUUUUAGUAACUUUUAGCUCUUUUCUGAGAAUGGAAGAU